GAUGAACGCUGGCGGCGUGCCUAAUACAUGCAAGUCGAGCGAACAGACGAGGAGCUUGCUCCUCUAACGUUAGCGGCGGACGGGUGAGUAACACGUGGAUAACCUACCUAUAAGACUGGGAUAACUUCGGGAAACCGGAGCUAAUACCGGAUAAUAUAUUGAACCGCAUGGUUCAAUAGUGAAAGACGGUUUUGCUGUCACUUAUAGAUGGAUCCGCGCCGCAUUAGCUAGUUGGUAAGGUAACAGCUUACCAAGGCAACGAUGCGUAGCCGACCUGAGAGGGUGAUCGGCCACACUGGAACUGAGACACGGUCCAGACUCCUACGGGAGGCAGCAGUAGGGAAUCUUCCGCAAUGGGCGAAAGCCUGACGGAGCAACGCCGCGUGAGUGAUGAAGGUCUUCGGAUCGUAAAACUCUGUUAUUAGGGAAGAACAAAUGUGUAAGUAACUAUGCACGUCUUGACGGUACCUAAUCAGAAAGACACGGCUAACUACGUG
Molecule: ribosomal RNA, 497 nt
Filed under: uncultured bacterium
Lineage: Bacteria
Description: partial 16S ribosomal RNA
Rfam family: Bacterial small subunit ribosomal RNA
Source: RNAcentral